CAAUAGCGUAUAUUAAAGUUGUUGCAGUUAAAAAGCUCGUAGUUGGAUUUGUGGCGUACGGUGUGUUCCGGGCACUUGUUGUCUGAGUAACCUGCUGUUGCCAUCCUUGGGUGGAACCUGUGUGGCAUUAGGUUGUCGUGCAGGGGAUGCCCAUCAUUUACUGUGAAAAAAUUAGAGUGUUCAAAGCAGGCUUAUGCCGUUGAAUAUAUUAGCAUGGAAUAAUGAGAUAGGACUUUUUUGCUAUUUUGUUGGUUUGCGCAAAGAGGUAAUGAUUAAUAAGGACAGUUGGGGAUAUUCGUAUUCCAUUGUCAGAGGUGAAAUUCUUGGAUUUUUGGAAGACGAACUACUGCGAAAGCAUUUACCAAGGAUGUUUUCAUUAA
This 380-nucleotide ribosomal RNA is filed under the name uncultured eukaryote. RNAcentral describes it as "partial 18S ribosomal RNA". It matches the Rfam family "Eukaryotic small subunit ribosomal RNA", at positions 592 to 976 of the family's 1831-position model. The record is from RNAcentral.